Molecule: ribosomal RNA, 283 nt
Filed under: marine bacterium SIMO-IS192
Lineage: Bacteria; Pseudomonadati; Pseudomonadota; Alphaproteobacteria
Description: partial 16S ribosomal RNA
Rfam family: Bacterial small subunit ribosomal RNA
Source: RNAcentral
GCAACGUGCCUUUCACUACGGAAUAGCUCUUGGAAACGAGUGGUAAUACCGUAUACGCCCUCCGGGGGAAAGAUUUAUCGGUGAAAGAUCGGCCCGCGUUAGAUUAGUUUGUUGGUGGGGUAAAGGCCUACCAAGACUACGAUCUAUAGCUGGUCUGAGNCGGAUGAUCAGCCACACUGGGACUGAGACACGGCCCAGACUCCUACGGGAGGCAGCAGUGGGGAAUCUUGCACAAUGGGCGAAAGCCUGAUGCAGCCAUGCCGCGUGAAUGAUGAAGGCCUUA